This 253-nucleotide ribosomal RNA is filed under the name uncultured bacterium. RNAcentral describes it as "partial 16S ribosomal RNA". It matches the Rfam family "Bacterial small subunit ribosomal RNA", at positions 524 to 776 of the family's 1533-position model. The record is from RNAcentral.
UACGGAGGGUGCGAGCGUUGUCCGGAAUCAUUGGGCGUAAAGGGCGCGUAGGUGGCGGGACAAGCGUGCGGUGAAAGCUCGGGGCUCAACCCCGAGUCGGCCGUGCGAACUGUUUUGCUUGAGCACUGUGGAGGCAGGCGGAAUUCCGGGUGUAGCGGUGGAAUGCGUAGAGAUCCGGAAGAACACCGGUGGCGAAGGCGGCCUGCUGGGCAGUAGCUGACACUGAGGCGCGACAGCGUGGGGAGCAAACAGG